AGGGGGACGGAGAGAUUGACGGAGACGUCACUCAUCGUAUAGGAGCGGGGUGGUCAAAGUGAAGGCUUGCAUCAGGAGUCAUGUGUGACAAGAAAGUUCCACAGAAAUUUAGGGGGAAAUUUUAUAGAGUUGUGGUUAGACCUGCAAUGUUGUAUGGGGCAGAGUGCUGGCCAGUGAAGAACUCUCAUGUUCAGAGAAUGAAGGUN
RNAcentral lists this long non-coding RNA (206 nucleotides) under Nicotiana benthamiana. RNAcentral's name for it is "long non-coding RNA (NBEN_LNC032080)". Lineage: Eukaryota; Viridiplantae; Streptophyta; Magnoliopsida; Solanales; Solanaceae. The record is from RNAcentral.